GUCGGUGACGAGCAGAUGGACAUAUGGCAGGCUUCAAUAUUCUAUAAUAUUAUAGAAGCUAUCUAGUAGGCACUACUUCAUCAGAAAGCUGGAUAGAGACACUUCGUCACAUCAAGGCAAGCUACGAGAAAGUAAACAUCAUCUCACAGAAUUCUACUCGAACACCGCAUCGAAAUCAGACUUUGAUAAUGGCGUCUAAAACCCUGAUUGCUCUCUACUUUCUGAUUGCCUUGGCCGUGGCAGCAAGCGUUUUAGUCGAGCAAUAUGAGAUCGACAAUUCUAAUGGGGUGAAAUAUUCGUGGAACAGCCGAAAAUCUGAGGCAACAAAAUCUGGUAAAAUCGGUGGAAGGGCCCCGAGAAAACGACAUAUUUCUUAGUAAUAGCAGCAUCGAGAAGAUCGGAAAGCAUACCAGCUGGAUCUUGUCAGACGUCUUCUCUGUUUGUUGAGACUUUUGUCAAACUGAUGCGAGAACCAAAAAAAAAAUCAUCGGUGAUCAGUCAUCAUUGACCUUAACCCUAACCCCAACGAAUUCAUAACUUUGCCUCUAAAAUAUAAAAAUUGAAUAAAUAUAUAUAUAUAUAAUACAAUUUGAAUCUUGUUUCAAAAGUAAUGUAUCACUAUGCCUACAUGUAGCCCAUAUAUUUUUGUGUUGACGGUUAGUCAAUUCACUGGAAAUUGGAUUGUUUUGAUAUAAUGCAUUAAAGAGUACAGUCUUGUACAUGUGCUUCAUAAUUUAAGAAAAAACGUGCAGAGGAAACCAUUGAGGUGUAUACAUUAAUAUAAAUCGAUGAUCUAAACAGU
Molecule: long non-coding RNA, 802 nt
Filed under: Strongylocentrotus purpuratus (purple sea urchin)
Lineage: Eukaryota; Metazoa; Echinodermata; Echinoidea; Camarodonta; Strongylocentrotidae
Description: uncharacterized LOC105440226, transcript variant X2
Source: RNAcentral